Small nucleolar RNA from Panicum virgatum (switchgrass), 139 nucleotides. RefSeq annotates it as small nucleolar RNA Z247. The transcript has a single exon. The record is from RefSeq and is a predicted model, not a curated record. NCBI's taxonomy places the organism in Eukaryota, Viridiplantae, Streptophyta, Magnoliopsida, Poales, Poaceae.
CCCCUAGGAGAUGAAGAAUUAGUCCAAUAUAUCCUCACUGGUUUGGUCAUGGAAUACAAUCCCAUUGUUUCUGCAGUGCUUGCUCGUGUGGAACCAAUUACUAUUAACGAGUUGUACUCCCAGCUGUUGAGUUUUGAGC